This 386-nucleotide ribosomal RNA is filed under the name Leptographium procerum. RNAcentral's name for it is "eukaryotic LSU rRNA". It matches the Rfam family "Eukaryotic large subunit ribosomal RNA", at positions 1 to 387 of the family's 3401-position model. The record is from RNAcentral. Lineage: Eukaryota; Fungi; Ascomycota; Sordariomycetes; Ophiostomatales; Ophiostomataceae.
GUUGACCUCGGAUCAGGUAGGACUACCCGCUGAACUUAAGCAUAUCAAUAAGCGGAGGAAAAGAAACCAACAGGGAUUGCCCCAGUAACGGCGAGUGAAGCGGCAACAGCUCAGAUUUGGAAUCUGGCCCCCAGGGCCCGAGUUGUAAUCUGGAGAGGAUGCUUCUGGCGCGGCGCCUUCCGAGUUCCCUGGAACGGGACGCCGGAGAGGGUGAGAGCCCCGUACGGUUGGACGCCUAGCCUUUGUGAAGCUCCUUCGACGAGUCGAGUAGUUUGGGAAUGCUGCUCAAAAUGGGAGGUAAAUUUCUUCUAAAGCUAAAUACCGGCCAGAGACCGAUAGCGCACAAGUAGAGUGAUCGAAAGAUGAAAAGCACUUUGAAAAGAGGG